ACGAACGCUGGCGGCAGGCCUAACACAUGCAAGUCGAACGAACCUUGGAGUGAGUGGCGCACGGGUGCGUAACACGUGGGAAUAUACCCUUCAGUGCGGAAUAACGUAGAGAAAUUUUAGCUAAUACCUUAUAAUAUCUUCGGAUCAAAGAUUUAUCGCCUAGGGAUCAGCCCGCGUCUGAUUAGUUUGUUGGUGAGGUAAUGGCUCACCAAGACUACGAUCAGUAGCUGAUCUGAGAGGAUGAUCAGCCACACUGGUACUGAGACACGGACCAGACUCCUACGGGAGGCAGCAGUGAGGAAUAUUGGACAAUGGAGGAAACUCUGAUCCAGCCAUGCCGCGUGAGUGAAGACGGCCUUAGGGUUGUAAAGCUCUUUCAGAUGUGAAGAUAAUGACGGUAGCAUCAGAAGAAGCCCCGGCUAAAUUCGUGCCAGCAGCCGCGGUAAUACGAAUGGGGCAAGCGUUGUUCGGAAUAACUGGGCUUAAAGCGUCCGCAGGCGGUCAGUAAAGUCAGAAGUGAAAUCCCAGAGCUCAACUCUGGAACUGCUUUUGAAACUCACUGACUAGAAUAUUGGAGAGGUUGGGAGAAUUCCUAGUGUAGAGGUGAAAUUCGCAGAUAUUAGGAGGAAUACCAGUGGCGUAGGCGCUUGACUGGACCGGUAUUGACGCUCAUGUACGAAAGCGUGGGGAGCAAACAGGAUUAGAUACCCUGGUAGUCCACGCCGUAAACGAUGUAUGCUAGUUGUUGGAGUCUUAAGGCUUCAGUGACGCAGAAAUCAUUAAGCAUACCGCCUGGGGAGUACGGUCGCAAGAUUAAAACUCAAAGGAAUUGACGGGGACCCGCACAAGCGGUGGAGCAUGUUGUUUAAUUCGAAGCAACGCGAAGAACCUUACCCACACUUAACUAUCCUCUUGGGGCUUUCAGAGAUGAUCGCUUUCGGUUCGGCCGGGGAGUGAAUAGGUGCUGCAUGGCUGUCGUCAGCUCGUGUCGUGAGAUGUUGGGUUAAGUCCCGCAACGAGCGCAACCCUUAUUGCUAGUUGCCAUCAUUUAGUUGGGCACUCUAGUGAGACUGCCGGUGAUAAGCCGGAGGAAGGCGGGGACGACGUCAAGUCAUCAUGGCCCUUACGGGUUGGGCUACAAACGUGCUACAAUGGCUGUGACAGUGGGCAGCGACCUCGCGAGAGGAUGCUAAUCUCCAAAAACUGUCUCAGUUCGGAUUGUUCUCUGCAACUCGAGAGCAUGAAGUUGGAAUCGCUAGUAAUCGUGCAUCAGCAUGUCACGGUGAAUACGUUCCCGGGUCUUGUACACACCGCCCGUCAAGUCAUGGGAGUUGGUUCUACCCGAAGGUGCCGCGCUAACUACGGAGGCAGGCAACCACGGUAGGAUCAGCGACUGGGACUAAGUCGUAA
Molecule: ribosomal RNA, 1410 nt
Filed under: uncultured prokaryote
Description: partial 16S ribosomal RNA
Rfam family: Bacterial small subunit ribosomal RNA
Source: RNAcentral